RNA transcript from Carya illinoinensis, 4402 nucleotides. It is a transcript of the gene named translation initiation factor eIF-2B subunit delta-like, with no coding region annotated. Lineage: Eukaryota; Viridiplantae; Streptophyta; Magnoliopsida; Fagales; Juglandaceae. The record is from RefSeq and is a predicted model, not a curated record. The transcript is spliced from 9 exons.
AAUUAAAAUUUGGGUAAACGGGUCCUAAUCCUUCUUCAACCCCGCUCUUUCUGCAACUUCCCAAAAUCAAAACCCUCGCGACAAUGUAAAAACCUUAAUUCUCCUCUGUCUAUGGCCUUUAAUCCUUGUUUUCUUCAAUUUCCUUCCCUUCCAAAACCCUAGCCGUUUUUUCCGACUCCCGCCACCCCUUUUCAAUGGACGCCCGUCGACCCUCCCGAGCCAUCACUGACCCUAUGAUCCGCCGCGUUGGCUUCUUUACCCCCACCGGGAACAGCCAACUGCCACGGACACACUCCAACCCUGCCGGCUCUGGUUCCUCCCCGCACGCCGACUCUCCCGCUGGAAACUCGCUCUCUCCAGUCAUGAUCCCCCCGCCGCGUCACCUCUCUGACCGUACGCCCCCCUUGCCGGUUCCUGAGACCGGAUUACGCCAGGAUAGCGACCGCGUGCCGGUCGGGAGCUACAACGCGUCCGAAUCCCUGAUGGGCUCGUCUCCGUCAGGUGGGAUCGCUUUGGUGGGAGGAGAAUUCUCUGAGGAGUCGGAUGGGUGGUACGGGCAGAACGAGGUGCGUAAGCACUCUCCGAAUCUUCUCGAUGCCACUCUGCGGAAGGCUCCGGAUUAUCUGUCCGGUACUUCUGCUCCCCUGAGGCUUGAAAAAUUGAAGAAGUCUGCCCAAGUGCCAGAAAAGAGUGGUAAGGCCGAUGUGGAAGCGCAAAAUGAAAUGCAAUCUAGUUUGAAGCCACUGAAAACGAAAACAUCCAAAGCUGAAAGGCGUGCCUUGCAGGAGGCCCAAAGAGCUGCAAAAGCUUUGGCUAAAGAGGGUGAUAAAUCUGCUGCUGUAUCUGGGGGAGCAGCUCCAAAAAAACCUUUGAAGCUGCCAUCACAGAAGAAAGAUGGUCCUCCAGUCUUAUCUUCAAUUGCAGCUUCUGACAAGAAAGGAGGUGAUCGUCUACCUGAUAAAGAGAGGAAGAAAGACGUUCCUCCUCCACGCAUGCAAUUUGAUGAUAAGAACCGUGUGGAGAAGGCAAAAAGACGUGCAGUGUUCCAUCAAACUGAAGCUAGAAAUAGAGUUGAAUUGUUUCGGCAUUUGCCUCAGUAUGAACAUGGAACUCAGCUUCCUGAUCUGGAGUCACGAUUUUUCCAACUUGAUCUGGUGCAUCCUGCUGUAUACAAGGCUGGAUUACAGUAUUUAGCCAAAGAUAUAACUGGGGGCAAUGCACGUUGCAUUGCAAUGCUUCAAUCUUUCAAGGAAGCCAUUAAAGACUACUCCACACCACCAGAAAAAACUCUUGUGAGAGAUUUAACUGCAAAAAUAAGCAGUUAUGUAUCAUUCUUUAUUGAAUGUAGGCCACUUUCUAUCAGCAUGGGAAAUGCAAUUAGGUUUGUUAAGAGCCGUAUAACAAAGCUACCAUUAACUCUUUCUGAAUUAGAAGCAAAAGCUGCACUUUGUUCAGAUAUCGAGCGUUUCAUAAAUGAAAAGAUAUUACUUGCUGAGAAGGUCAUAGUUGGACAUGCUGUUACAAAGAUUAGGGAUGGAGACGUGCUUCUUACUUAUGGAUCAUCAAGUGUGGUUGAGAUGAUUCUGUUACAUGCUCAUGAGAUGGGGAAACAGUUCCGAGUUGUAGUAGUAGACUCACGUCCGAAGCUGGAAGGCCAAGCAUUACUUCGGAGGCUGGUAUCAAAUGGCCUGAGCUGUACAUACUGUCAUAUUAAUGCUGUUUCUUAUAUUAUGAAUGAGGUUACACGAGUUUUUCUGGGGGCCGCCUCUGUAUUGUCCAAUGGAACUGUACAUUCGAGGGUUGGGACUGCAUCUGUUGCAAUGGUUGCUCAUGCUUUCCAUGUUCCAGUUUUAAUCUGCUGUGAAGCCUAUAAAUUUCAUGAAAGGGUACAGCUUGACUCAAUCUGCUCUAAUGAACUAGGCGAUCCAUAUGCCAUUACAGAAGUUCCUGGGAGAGUGGAUGUGAAUUAUCUGAAUAAUUGGGCCAAAAAGGAAAAUCUGCAGCUUCUAAAUUUGAUGUAUGAUUCUACCCCUUCAGAUUAUAUCUCCAUGAUUGUCACAGACUAUGGAAUGAUCCCAACCACUAGUGUACCUGUCAUUGUGCGCGAGUAUCGACGAGAACAUUUAUUCAUUUAGAAAAUAUUCAUCAGCUAUAACCAGUAUUAAUAUUAUCAGCUGCAGCAGCAGUUGCCAAUUCCAUCAACCUCUCAUAAUCUAUCUCAGUAGACUUGAACUUCAACUUGAUUCCACCCUGAGUCCAUGACCUUAUACAAAGGAGAGCUUGUGUGCUAUCAUGUGGCAAACAAAAUCGUUGCUUCUCUAUCUCAUCACCUUUGCUGCAGAACAAAUCCUCAGCUGCCGUGGAAGUUGCCUGCACGGUCAAGAAAUCUCGAGCCAUGACAGAAAGUCGCGGAUAGCGAGUGCUAUUAACUUUCCACCACUCCAAAACAUCUGUUGGUAUUGGAGCCGGAGGCUCUGAUAGAUACUGAGUGAGCUCAUCAGUGGCAGUGCUCAUGCUUGCCCUUCGUUUCUUUCGAGCAAUUUCCUCUGCAAAAGAGACAUUCCCUUCAUCUUCAAUCUCCUGAGCAAUGUACCCACUAGUCAUGGAUGGAACAUGGCUGCUAGAAUAAUUUCUCAUGAAAUGGGCUCUUGCUUCCUCAAGAUAAUUUUCUGAACUGAGACUUUCAGCCAUGUCUUCAGCAGCACUCUUUAGCCAGUCUGGGCUGUGCCGGGAUUCUCUGCAGACAGCGAUCGUGUCAGAGAUGUGAUCCAUGAAGAAGAGAACCAGACCGAUUGUGGGCACCUUGCUUGUGCAUAUGUUGGUUGUGGUUUUGUAGAAGGGUUGUAAAUAUUGAUGCAUGAUACUGACCACAUUCUUCUCUGUGGAGGUCAGCAGCAUCCUAUUGCCUAGUAUCUCAUAUUUCCUGAUUAUGGCGUCCAUAGACUUGCUUGCCUGUUUCAUAUGUAAAAUCCUAGUUCAUCAAUAGCCACUACAUCCAUGCAGGCAUGGAUGGCGCAGACACAAAACAACAUACAAACAUAUACAUACACAGUCAGGCUAUAUAUAUUUGGCAGUUAUCAUAACCUGAUCAAAACCAAAUAUCAUGGGCAACACCCUAAUCUUUGAUGAAGCAAACUUCAACAGCUUUCUGAUAAGUAAGCUGUUGAAGUUUAAGGGUCCAAGAAUAAUUCUUUAUUUCAAUGAUCAGUCGCAGAGAUGGAGAACUGUCUUGAUAGCCUGAUCAUAUCAGGCAAUUAUUUCACCUAAUUGAAUUGGGAGGAGUAGAGUGUGGCUGUUCGGUAUUAAACAAACCAAUCAAAGAACAAAGGGGGUUUCAAGUUUCAACCUUGUCGUACAUCCACCUUUCAAGCUGAGUGUCAUAUCAUAUUUUCAGAUUUUCUUUAUCCAAUGAACUUUGAGGCAGUCGUUAAAAAUACUUUAUAAUGCCGGCAAGUAGUUGCUAACAGAGAAAUUAUAUUUGCAAGUCGGUGCGGAGGGCGUGGCAUGGCAGAGUUUGAUCUGCAAGAGAAUUUAAUUUUAAACUAUCUUCCUAAUUAAAUCUUGUCAUGUCAGCAGUAGGUUUGCAAGUAGGAGUUGCUGAUGAAAGCACUUAAUGGGCCUGAUAUUAGACUAUGGGGGGAAUAAACACCAUAUUCUGCGACAAAAAUCCCAUUUCUUGGUUGGAAAAUUCUUCUAAACAAAGAGGCUUUUCAUUUUGCAGAAUUUUUAUAUCCUUAAGCAGGAGGUUUUUAGAUGAUAUGAGCAAGUACCUUGCGCACAAUAUCUAGCAUCUGAUAAUUGCCACUCCACCGUGCUGAAGCAUCCAGUGGAAAUUUCCAACUACCUUCUUGAAAUGCUGCAGUUGCUUGAGUAAAAUCUCCUGACAUUUCUAAGGAUGCAUUUAACUCCAGUACAAACUCCCGGAUCUUCAAGAUUACUGGUUUUGUGGUUCUCAAUCCGUCAUCUAUGAUCAAAUUCAAAGUACGUGCUGCACAGGGGAUGUAACAAAAGGGACCAACUUUCUGACCAUCCAAUUCCUCUUUCAAAGUAUGGCAAGCACGCAUGGAACUUUGACUGUUAUCAUGCGUGCAGGAGAGGACUCUACUGUCAAUAUUGUACAUCUUAAGAACCUUCACCAGGGAAUCGUAAAUCUCGGCACCCCCACAAGGAUGAGGUAUAUGACAGAUAUCAAGAAGCACCUUUCGGAAGGACCAGUUCUCGUCAAUCCACUGGCAUGUGACACUCAUAUAAUAUAUCUGUUGAUAGGAAGUCCAGAAGUCAAGUGUGAUGGAGAACUUCGACAAAACCUGCUCCAAAGAUGCUCUAACAUCCUCCUGCAUGCUUCUGAAAACUUCAUGAAAUACUGCUUUAUACUUCUCACCUGGCCAUACUUGUAUUGAUG